Molecule: non-coding RNA, 106 nt
Filed under: Clostridia bacterium
Lineage: Bacteria; Bacillati; Bacillota; Clostridia
Source: RNAcentral
GCUACUGUGAGCGAAGAGUCGCCCCCAGAAAGCCACUGGUAACCCGGGAAGGCGGGAGGCGACGAUGACCGCGAGCCAGGAGACCUGCCCGCCUGUCAUCGCUCCC